RNAcentral lists this ribosomal RNA (503 nucleotides) under uncultured bacterium. RNAcentral's name for it is "partial 16S ribosomal RNA". It matches the Rfam family "Bacterial small subunit ribosomal RNA", at positions 28 to 507 of the family's 1533-position model. The record is from RNAcentral.
GAUGAACGCUGGCGGCGUGCUUAACACAUGCAAGUCGAACGAGAAGUGAAGACGGAAACCUUCGGGCGGAAGGCUUUAUUUCGAGUGGCGGACGGGUGAGUAACGCGUGGGUAACCUGCCUCAUACAGGGGGAUAACAGUUGGAAACGACUGCUAAUACCGCACAAGUCCACAGCACCGCACUGCGCGGGGGUAAAAACUCCGGUGGCAUGUGAUGGAUCCGCGUCGGAUCAGCGAGUUGGCGGGGUAAAGGGCCACCAAGGCGACGAUCGGUAGCGGGUCUGAGAGGAGGAACAGCCACACUGGAAAUGAGACACGGGGCAGACGCCUAAGGGAGGGAGCAGUGGGGAAGAUGGGACAAGGGGCGCAAGCCUGAUCCAGACAUACCGCGUGGGUGAAGAAGGCCUGCGGGUUGUAAAGACCUUUUGGUGGGAAAGAAAAGAAGCAGGUUAAUACCCCGCGGUUCUGACGGUACCCAAAGAAGAAGCACCGGCUAACUUCGUG